GACGAACGCUGGCGGCGUGCUUAACACAUGCAAGUCGAACGGAAAGGCCCUGCUUUUGUGGGGUGCUCGAGUGGCGAACGGGUGAGUAACACGUGAGUAACCUGCCCUUGACUUUGGGAUAACUUCAGGAAACUGGGGCUAAUACCGGAUAGGAGCUCCUGCUGCAUGGUGGGGGUUGGAAAGUUUCGGCGGUUGGGGAUGGACUCGCGGCUUAUCAGCUUGUUGGUGGGGUAGUGGCUUACCAAGGCUUUGACGGGUAGCCGGCCUGCGAGGGUGACCGGCCAAAUUGGGACUGAGAUACGGCCAAGACUCCUACGGGAGGCAGCAGUGGGGAAUAUUGCAAAAUGGGCGGAAGCCUGAUGCAGCAACGCCGCGUGCGGGAUGACGGCCUUCGGGUUGUAAACCGCUUUCGCCUGUGACGAAGCGUGAGUGACGGUAAUGGGUAAAGAAGCACCGGCUAACUACGUG
Molecule: ribosomal RNA, 468 nt
Filed under: uncultured bacterium
Lineage: Bacteria
Description: partial 16S ribosomal RNA
Rfam family: Bacterial small subunit ribosomal RNA
Source: RNAcentral